RNAcentral lists this ribosomal RNA (556 nucleotides) under Pichia manshurica. Its description in RNAcentral is "partial large subunit ribosomal RNA". It matches the Rfam family "Eukaryotic large subunit ribosomal RNA", at positions 85 to 668 of the family's 3401-position model. Lineage: Eukaryota; Fungi; Ascomycota; Pichiomycetes; Pichiales; Pichiaceae. The record is from RNAcentral.
AGCGGCGAGUGAGCGGCAAGAGCUCAGAUUUGAAAUCGUGUUUCGGCACGAGUUGUAGAGUGUAGGCGGGAGUCUCUGUGGAGCGCGGUGUCCAAGUCCCUUGGAACAGGGUGCCUGAGAGGGUGAGAGCCCCGUAGGGUGCUGCGCGAAGCUUUUGAGGCCCUGCUGACGAGUCGAGUUGUUUGGGAAUGCAGCUCCAAGCGGGUGGUAAAUUCCAUCUAAGGCUAAAUAUUGGCGAGAGACCGAUAGCGAACAAGUACUGUGAAGGAAAGAUGAAAAGCACUUUGAAAAGAGAGUGAAACAGCACGUGAAAUUGUUGAAAGGGAAGGGUAUUGGGCUCGACAUGGGGGGUGCGCACCGCUGUCUCUUGUAGGCGGCGCUCUGGGCGCCCUCUGGGCCAGCAUCGGUUCCUGCUGCGGGAGAAGGGGCUCCGGAAAGUGGCUCUUCGGAGUGUUAUAGCCGGGGCCAGAUGCCGCGUGUGGGGACCGAGGACUGCGGCUUCUGUCUCGGAUGCUGGCAUAACGGCGCAAUACCGCCCGUCUUGAAACACGGACCA